Artibeus jamaicensis (Jamaican fruit-eating bat) is the source of this 106-nucleotide small nuclear RNA. The record is from RefSeq and is a predicted model, not a curated record. NCBI's taxonomy places the organism in Eukaryota, Metazoa, Chordata, Mammalia, Chiroptera, Phyllostomidae.
UGCUGACUUCGGCAGCACAUAUACUAACAUUGGAACUAUACAGAAAAAAUUAGCAAUGCCCAUGUGCAAAGAUGACAUGCAAAUUCAUGCAGUGUUCCAUAUUUUA